RNAcentral lists this long non-coding RNA (563 nucleotides) under Olea europaea (common olive). Its description in RNAcentral is "long non-coding RNA (OEUR_LNC012235)". The record is from RNAcentral. Lineage: Eukaryota; Viridiplantae; Streptophyta; Magnoliopsida; Lamiales; Oleaceae.
AGGAUUAAGUACUUCAUUGUCUCUAUUCAUGACAAUAACUAACGCGUAUUUGGAAGUUGUAAAGACAAAAUUGUUCGUUUGAUCAUUUCAAGUUCCGCUUACAUGAUACAUGAUUGAGUGAAAUUCUACAUGAUCCAACUGUUUCUAAGACAUUUUUUACUGUAUUUUUUGUAGGUCGGCAUACACCCUUCGGCUACGAAGAGUCUGGGACAAUGCUGUCCAUCAAGAGACGAAUUGCUGUUGGUAAACCAAAGACAUGUUGGAAUUUGGUUUAAAGAUUAAAAAAAUUGGUUAAGUAUGAACAUGAAUGCGAUUUUGUGUCAAUUUUGACCAAAUAUUUGGACUAGAUUCGGUAGUCAAAAUAUAAAAAUAAAUAGACUAACUUGUUCUAUCAUCAAGUAGAUCGUUGUAGUAUAUUUGAAAUUUUAAAAACAAUUCCAGAUGAAUGAGAAAUUGUGGUCUAAAAUUGGAAGGAAAAAUGAGGAGAAAAGAGGAAAAAUCAUAUAGCAUUAGCCAAGCGAGCGGCAAAGCUAUCACUCGAGGGGUAGGCUAGCGACAUCCGG